AACUGGCCGCGUAAAUGUUUUGGCUCCCCUUAUGGACACACUCGCUCCGAUCAUCGCGCUGUGCUUUCUUGGGUUUUUUUCUUCAGCAGAAACUCCUCAAAGCUAUUGCCCAUCCCCACUGAUUCAGGCAGAAGAAGGUCGUAAUGUCUCAUUACCAUGUUAUGUGGAUCCCUCAGUUGACCUGUCUGCUUAUACCGUGGACUGGAAACAAACUGACUUGAACGAUGUUGUCUUCUCGUGGCGACACGGGCAGGAAAAUCAUGGUGCACAGGCGGCGAGCUAUAGAAGCAGAGCAAGUAUCAACUCUGGAGACCUUAGCAGAGGAAAUCUAACCCUGCAGAUCUUCUCAGCACGCCUGUCUGAUAGCGGGCGUUACAGGUGUUUUGUGCCAAAACUGAAAGCCUUUUGCAUCGUUCAUCUUAAUGUAACCAAAGAGAUUAAUGUCAGGUCCAGCACAACCACAUCUCCAAAUCUCCACAGCACAACCACAACGCUGAAGCCAAA
Pundamilia nyererei is the source of this 504-nucleotide long non-coding RNA. RefSeq lists it as uncharacterized. The record is from RefSeq and is a predicted model, not a curated record. NCBI's taxonomy places the organism in Eukaryota, Metazoa, Chordata, Actinopteri, Cichliformes, Cichlidae. The transcript is spliced from 3 exons.